Molecule: unclassified non-coding RNA, 393 nt
Filed under: Hevea brasiliensis (rubber tree)
Lineage: Eukaryota; Viridiplantae; Streptophyta; Magnoliopsida; Malpighiales; Euphorbiaceae
Source: RNAcentral
UGAAAUUGCUCAGGAUUUCAAGACUGAUCUGCGAUUCCAGAGCCAUGCAGUCCUCGCACUUCAGGAGGCAGCAGAGGCUUACCUUGUGGGUCUGUUUGAGGACACAAACUUGUGUGCCAUCCAUGCUAAGCGUGUGACCAUCAUGCCUAAAGACAUUCAGCUGGCUCGCCGGAUCAGGGGUGAAAGGGCCUGAUUGUGCUACUGGGGGACUACUGCUAGUGUUAUGGUUCUGUUAGAUGUUCUCUUUUCUUGAACCCAAAAAACUUAGUACCAGUUAAGAGUAGUUGGUUUGUGAUCAAUGUUGGUUUGAACUUAAUGUUAAUAUUAGUACUUGGUGGGUAUCUUGAACCUUAAUUCUGCUUUGUUAUUUGAAGUGUUGGAUUAAAAUUUGUU